AUGACUCUUAUGCCCUUUAGCUAUUUGGUUGGGGAUCACCGGUCUUUAGUUCGACCAUCAAGUUUCAUCUUGGACACCAUCUCUUUGAGAUUUGGUUUGCUUUUACUUGCCAUCCCCAGUUUUGAUUCAGGGUAUGCUUUUUUUCAUACACCGGCCCGCACGCGGCCGUUACAAGACGAACUGCAUUGGCGCACGCCGAAACCCUCUCUCUCCCCUCUCUCCCCUCUCUCGUCUUCUCACCUCCGAAGAUGCCCAUAGUCAUGAUCUGCAAAUCUCAAUGAUCCCCGCUGCCGCAGCCGCCUGCCGCUCCUUCCGCAAGCUGCCGCCAUGGAAACCGACAUCCAACUUACCGCAUAGGAGAACGAGAAACCUCGAUCUGUGUUCCCUCUUGCGACUUCCGGAAACCAAAUGUGGCUCCGGGUGAUUCGGCAACCUCCGCUUCCACCGGACUCCCUGUACUCACUCCGAUAUGGUUCGCAUGUCAGGCAAGUCUGGUCGUUCGAAACUUUUUAGAUUCCAGUAUUCGUCUCUCGCUGAUGCAUUCAGUUAUUGGUGUCUCAUCCAAGCCACUGCACAUGUGACAAUGUCUUAAGUAUAAUUGUUAUUAUUAAAUAUUUUAUUUAAUAAUAAUAUAAUCGUUCUCAUUAA
This is a long non-coding RNA of Musa acuminata AAA Group (dessert banana), 648 nucleotides long. RefSeq lists it as uncharacterized. The transcript is spliced from 2 exons. The record is from RefSeq and is a predicted model, not a curated record. NCBI's taxonomy places the organism in Eukaryota, Viridiplantae, Streptophyta, Magnoliopsida, Zingiberales, Musaceae.